GAGAGUCUAGUUUAAAAAACAUUAGUUGGUCAAACUUAAAUUACACUAAACCAGUGUGAUUCUUU
RNAcentral lists this transfer RNA (65 nucleotides) under Cicadellidae sp. EMHAU-2015-Zz052706. RNAcentral describes it as "tRNA-Asp". Lineage: Eukaryota; Metazoa; Arthropoda; Insecta; Hemiptera; Cicadellidae. The record is from RNAcentral.